Molecule: RNA transcript, 1996 nt
Organism: Alosa alosa (allis shad)
Lineage: Eukaryota; Metazoa; Chordata; Actinopteri; Clupeiformes; Clupeidae
Exons: 7
Source: RefSeq, a predicted model, not a curated record
UCUCCUGCCAAACAGAUGAGAGGUUGCUGCUAGCAUGAGCACUAACGUUAAUGGAGUGGUCGGCAGUUGACAUUUAGCUUGAGUCUGUAUGUGGCCCACUAAAAGUUAGAUGGAAAUAGAUAGAUAAAUACUUUAUUGUAACCCAUGGGGAAAUUCGACAAAUUACACACUCUAGCAGCACAACUAGCACUACCAGAGUGGGCUAGCACUACCAGACUCAAAAUAAUUUGACGACGGAUGAAUCUAGCCACGCACUCAUUGUGCUGUCAGACACCUCAUAUGUAAUAGUUUUUUUUGUCGAUAGAAACGUUCAAUAGUGUACCGCUAAGGUCCAAUAUUAAAAUAGCAUUGACGAGCAUGCUCGAACUGAGUUCCUACACUGCAUGUUCACAUUUUUUCGUAGCUUCUAUGGACGUUAGUUUUUAAAUUCUGAGUGAGUUGGUGCAGUGAGCAUUUAGCUAGAUUGCUGUUAACAGAACUAGAGUUAACUAGUGCUGCGUCCGUGUAAAACAAACAUGCAAGCAGUUUUUGUAAGGUAAUAUGUGGUUAUAUUAUGUAGUAAGUAUAAGCAUUUUAAAAUUCUAAACUUGUUCUUUGCCUUUUAGGUUGCUGGUCCAAGAAUGAUCUGGAACUAACAUCUACGGUCCUAUGAGGUGACAACUGCAAACACAAGCCUGUCGAUCCACCUGCAGUCUGGUCUGAAUGAUACAGUCCCUCUUCCAGCAUACAAGAUAGACGGCUCGCUGCUGCUAACCCUCAAACGGUUCAUUCAAGUGAGACAGAACUAAGAUGUGUCCUCUCCAGAGUGUCUCAGCAGGUGGCCUACAGGACCUUUUCCAGUUCCCACCUUUGCUUUUGAUGUUAAGCUGAAACUUAGAGAUGGGAAUGUGGAAUAUGAGAAGAACCACACACCCCUUAAAGUGACAAGAGACCUAAAGCAUGACAUUUUAGAAAAGCUUGCAUCUACUAUAUAUGGUUUUAAGGCUUACGCAAGUGAUAAAGACAUCGCAAUGGCUGCUGAGGCUCUUGUAGCCAAACAUCCCUGCCUGAAGGAAGCAGGAUCUGAGAGUGGCUGGAAUGGAUGGAAAUACAGCCUCAAGUUCAAAAUGGGCAAUUACAGGAACAAGAUGAGGCGUGCUGGAUGUCAGGAGGUCACCGUUAAUGCUGGAAGAAGAAGUAGAAGUAAUCCUGAAAAUGAACCUUCACAUUCCAACAUUAAAAGACCCAAGCGAGCAGAAGUGAACUUCCUACCCAACUUUGCCCAAGGAAAGGAUCCUUCAAGCCUUGAGGAGUUGAGGCAGACAAUUGUUGAGGAAGUCAAGAAGACUGAGAAGGACCUGCCCCUCAUUAGAAAGAUGAUGGAGACCACAUUUCCCCUACGCCGACAGACCAUAGUGAUGUCCUGCCCACCAGUGAACGAGCUCAUGAACCUCUGGCCUGCUCUCAAAAUAGAAUCUGAGUUGUAUGCAGAGUUCCAGCGGAUUACGAAUCAGAACCUGCCCAACACAUUCUAUUCUGAGCUUGACCGCCAUCUUCCUCGACUGAUGACCUUAUUUAGACAGAAAGCAUCAAAAACUGGGAAGACCGCAGAUGUUCUCACUGAAAUUUUAAAAAUCCACGAUGAACAGGAAAUCCAUGACAUCUUCACCAAGCGCACUACGGCUCUCUGAGCCCUUCCUGUGUAUCUGCGCGAGGACGUUUCUGAUUUUUUCAGAACCUGCACAGACGAGUCUGAUGAGCCAGAGCUUGAUGGUAUUGCAGUGGGCCUCCUUACUGUCAUCAGUGACCAUGACGCAGUCCAAAGUCCAGUUCACUACCAACCUGUGAGAGUCUCUGUUGUCAUUGAAAGUGAUGCCGUGGUCAGCCUCCCCAGACUUGGCGAAGCCUUCCUGUGUGAAAAGGGAGCAGGCAAGAAAAUCCUGUUCAAUAGCAGAUGUUCACUGACUUGACUAAGUUAACACAAACUAAUAAACAUUGUGUUUAGUCAACAUGAAAA